CAGUCGCCGCGGUAAUACGAAGGGGGCUAGCGUUGUUCGGAAUUACUGGGCGUAGAGCGCGUGUAGGCGGGUCCUUAGGUCAGGGGUGAAAUGCCAAGGCUCAACCUUGGAACUGCCUUUGAUACUGGGGAUCUUGAGUCCGGGAGAGGUGAGUGGAACUGCGAGUGUAGAGGUGAAAUUCGUAGAUAUUCGCAAGAACACCAGUGGCGAAGGCGGCUCACUGGCCCGGAACUGACGCUGAGACGCGAAAGCGUGGGGAGCAAACAGGAUUAGAUACCCGAGUAGUCCCUGUCUCUUAUAC
RNAcentral lists this ribosomal RNA (301 nucleotides) under uncultured bacterium. RNAcentral's name for it is "partial 16S ribosomal RNA". It matches the Rfam family "Bacterial small subunit ribosomal RNA", at positions 509 to 807 of the family's 1533-position model. The record is from RNAcentral.